UACAGAGGGGGCAAGCGUUAUUCGGAAUUAUUGGGCGUAAAGGGCGCGUAGGCGGCCAUUCAAGUGACGGGUGAAAGCCCUCGGCUUAACCGAGGAACUGCCUGUCAGACUGGAUGGCUUGAGACCGGGAGAGGUGAGUGGAAUUCCCAGUGUAGCGGUGAAAUGCGUAGAUAUUGGGAGGAACACCAGUGGCGAAGGCGGCUCACUGGACCGGAACUGACGCUGAGGCGCGAAAGCGUGGGGAGCAAACAGGAUUAGAUCCCUGGUAGUCC
RNAcentral lists this ribosomal RNA (272 nucleotides) under uncultured prokaryote. Its description in RNAcentral is "partial 16S ribosomal RNA". It matches the Rfam family "Bacterial small subunit ribosomal RNA", at positions 524 to 796 of the family's 1533-position model. The record is from RNAcentral.